Oncorhynchus tshawytscha (Chinook salmon) is the source of this 1092-nucleotide long non-coding RNA. The record is from Ensembl. NCBI's taxonomy places the organism in Eukaryota, Metazoa, Chordata, Actinopteri, Salmoniformes, Salmonidae.
GUUCUACUAAGAUGUCAUGACAAACGGCACCUGUCAGAGUGCUCUCUAAGUGUUACUCACCUGCUUGGAUGUCAGCUGGCAGAGUGGCGAAGACGGCCAUCGUGAGAGUCCUUUCUUCAGGUGUGACGUCCACAACCUCCAAGAGGGAAGAGAUGGGCUCUGCCUCUGUAUUAGGGGUGAUGUCCACCACAUUCAGGUUGGAAGAAGCCGGAUCUGCCUCUGUAUUAGGGGUGAUGUCCACCACAUUCAGGUGGGAAGAUGCCGGGUCUGCCUCUGUCUUAGGGGUGAUGUCCUCAACCUCCAGGUGGAAAGAAGCCGGAUCUGCCUCUGUGUUAGGGGUGAUGUCUUCAACCUCAAGGUUGGAAGAAGCCGGGUCUGUGUUAUGGGUGACAACAACAAUCCUGAUGAGCUCUACUACUACAAGGCACCUAGAUGUCAUCGGAACAGGCAUCUGUCAGAGUGCUCUCUAUCAUUGCUACUCACCUGCUUGGAUGCCAGCUGGUAGUGUGGUGGAAACGGCCACCGCGAGGACAGGGGGGACUGGUAGGGUGGCUGCAGGGGGCUGGAAGCAGCUCUGCACCUCGUCCGCCACAAAGGCACAGACAGAGCUCAUAUAAAAAGGGCUCUGGAGGUCAUCGGUGGAGAAGGACUGACUGAUUCUCCCGAGGAUCGACCACACAGAGUCAAAAGCAGCAGCCCGGGAGAAAAGGAUGUGAGGGGAAGGGUCCUUUAACAUGCAGGAGAGCUUCUCCACUACGGCCGCCAACAUGCCCACGGCCAUCCCGCUUAUUAGGAUUGGGAGCUCUGAAUGUCCUUCUUCUGGCUGCAGCCACAGGGCCAGGAGGAGCCUGGGAACCACCUCCACCACCACCUGAGAUGGGCUGGGCAGGUUGCUACGGGGCUCAUUGGACUGCUUGCCCAGAAUGCUUCUCACAGCACUUUCCACGAUGCUGUGGACCUUAGGAUCGCUGAAAUCAACAAAAAGGAGAAGACAAAGCUAAACGAUGUGCAAUGUGCUCACAUAGAACACUGUCUUUGUCAGUUUUUGCGUAGUUCCAGAUGUGUAGAUAAAUGGAUCAAGUCAUAUGCAGG